This 1344-nucleotide ribosomal RNA is filed under the name Parnassius smintheus (Rocky Mountain parnassian). RNAcentral's name for it is "16S ribosomal RNA". The stretch from base 1080 to 1239 matches the Rfam family "Eukaryotic large subunit ribosomal RNA", at positions 2825 to 2984 of the family's 3401-position model. Lineage: Eukaryota; Metazoa; Arthropoda; Insecta; Lepidoptera; Papilionidae. The record is from RNAcentral.
GGGGGAUAAAUUAAUAAAGUAUAAAUAAUAAAAAAAUUUUUAAUAUUAAAAUAUUUUAAUGGGGGUUAAAGUAUAUUUAAUAGAAAAAAUAAAAAAAUUUAUAGAAAAUUAGUAUUGUAAAAGAAAUUUGAAAUAAAUUGAAAAUAAAUUUAUUUAAAAGUAAAUUUAAUUUAUUGUAUCUUGUGUAUCAGAGUUUAUUAAUAAUAAUUUUUUUUUAAAAAUUUUCUCGAAUUUAAAAGAGAUAAUUAAUUAUUAAAGUUAAUGUUGUAUAAUUAUUUUAAAUAAUUAAUUGGAAAUAAGAUGUUAAUCGUUUUUAAAUAUAUCUAGUUUUUUUAGAAAAAAAUUUAAUUUUAAAUUUUAAAAAGAAUAUAAUUUUAAUUAAUUAAAAUUAUAUUUUUAAAAUUAAAUAUUUUAAGGGAUAAGCUUUAAAAUAAAUUUUUAUAAUAAAUUUUAAUAAUAAUUAAAAUUUUUAAAAUUUAUAUNGUUUAUAAAUUAAAAUUUUUUAUAAAUAAUUUUAAUUAAAUUAAAAUUUCAAAAUUUAUUUAAUUUUUUAUUAAAAAAUAUUUUUUAACAAUUUAAAUUUAGAUAUAAUGAUAAAAUUAGUAUAUAAAUAAAUAAAUGUAAUUUAUUAUUUGAUAAUUUAAUAAAAGGAAUUCGGCAAAAAUUUAUAUUCACUUGUUUAUCAAAAACAUGUCUUUUUGAUUAAUAAUUUAAAGUCUAAUCUGCCCACUGAUAAUAUAUUAAAGGGCUGCAGUAUUUUGACUGUACAAAGGUAGCAUAAUCAUUAGUCUCUUAAUUGGUGACUUGUAUGAAGGAUUUGAUGAAAUAUAUACUGUCUCUUUUUAAUUUAUAAAAUUUAAUUUUUUAGUUAAAAAGCUAAAAUUUAUUUAAAAGACGAGAAGACCCUAUAGAGUUUUAUAUUUAUAUAAAUUAAAAUUUUUUAUAAGAUUUAAAAUUUCAAUUUAUAUAAAUAUUUUGUUGGGGUGAUAAAAAAAUUAAAAUAACUUUUUUUAUAAUUUUACAUUAAUAAAUGAAUAAAUGAUCCGUAAUUUACGAUUAUAAGAUAAAAUUACCUUAGGGAUAACAGCGUAAUUUUUUUUUUUAGUUCAAAUAAGAAAAAAAGUUUGCGACCUCGAUGUUGGAUUAAGAUAAAAUUUAAAUGCAAAAGUUUAAAAUUUUUGAUCUGUUCGAUCAUUAAAAUCUUACAUGAUCUGAGUUCAAACCGGUGUAAGCCAGGUUGGUUUCUAUCUUUAGAUUAAUAAAAUAUUUUAGUACGAAAGGAUCAAAUAUUUAAAAUAGUUUUAUUUAGAAGAAUUUUAAUAAUAGUAGAUAUUUUUAAAUAUG